This is a long non-coding RNA of Dermacentor albipictus, 367 nucleotides long. RefSeq lists it as uncharacterized. The record is from RefSeq and is a predicted model, not a curated record. Lineage: Eukaryota; Metazoa; Arthropoda; Arachnida; Ixodida; Ixodidae.
GCACUUGGUGUAUUUUUGCCUGUAACGCUGCCCGGUACGAUAAAAUCUCGGGGUCCGGGAUGUACUUUCGCGCGAGAAGAAUUUUGGAAGCUGUGAACAUCAUGGAGACUGUGAAAGCCUAGUGCUCGGAUACGCAAGAAUCGAUGAAGGUCGGAAGGCAGUACAUCUGAAUAGAUAGCUGGCCGCCACCUGCGCCCUGCGUAACCAGGCGGUUUCGUCGAGAGGAGGCGUCGCUACUGCAUUGCAAAAGCAGAGGUUCCACAUCGGGCGAUUCAAGACGGGACGUACCAAUCCUCUGCCAUGUACUUCGUGCAAUUAUACAAGAGAUAUUGAACACUUUCUGUGGUCGUGCUCAAGCUACCGUGGG